GUGGCACCCAGCCUUCUUUCUCUCCGUGCUCCUCUGCAUUUACCAUCUCGCAGGAACCAAUUGAUGCUGAAAUGGAUAGAAGUAGCACGAGUGAAAACUGAAGCAGAGGCAUCAGGAAGACGCAUCCUCAGAAGCUGUAAGACAGCAUGGCGUGGGAGACGGCCCCUCUGUUUCGUCUCCUCAAGUUCCGUGGCAGACUAGUAAGACUGAGUUUGACACCUUGGGAGAGACACGUCUGCCAAGUUUGUCAUCCAUUAAAUUCACAUUAAAUGAUAAGAGUUGAC
This 284-nucleotide long non-coding RNA is filed under the name Homo sapiens (human). RNAcentral describes it as "non-protein coding lnc-FRG1-6:2". The record is from RNAcentral. Lineage: Eukaryota; Metazoa; Chordata; Mammalia; Primates; Hominidae.